AGUUUGAUCCUGGCUCAGAUUGAACGCUGGCGGCAUGCCUUGCACAUGCAAGUCGAACGGCAGCACGGGAGCAAUCCUGGUGGCGAGUGGCGAACGGGUGAGUAAUAUAUCGGAACGUGCCCAGUCGUGGGGGAUAACGCAGCGAAAGCUGUGCUAAUACCGCAUACGAUCUCUGGAUGAAAGCGGGGGACUCGCAAGAGCCUCGCGCGAUUGGAGCGGCCGAUAUCAGAUUAGCUAGUUGGUGGGGUAAAAGCCCACCAAGGCGACGAUCUGUAGCUGGUCUGAGAGGACGACCGGCCACACUGGGACUGAGAUACGGCCCAGACUCCUACGGGAGGCAGCAGUGGGGAAUAUUGCACAAUGGGCGCAAGCCUGAUGCAGCGACGCCGCGUGAGGGAUGACGGCCUUCGGGUUGUAAACCUCUUUCAAUAGGGACGAAGCGCAAGUGACGGUACCUAUAGAAGAAGCACCGGCCAACUACGUG
Molecule: ribosomal RNA, 484 nt
Filed under: uncultured bacterium
Lineage: Bacteria
Description: bacterial SSU rRNA
Rfam family: Bacterial small subunit ribosomal RNA
Source: RNAcentral